UUUUGAUUUCCUCCCAUCUCCACACCAAACCAAAUGAACAGUGUUUCUUGUGCGUGGUUAUAUUUUUAUAGUUCAAUGUGCUCAAAAGUAGUGGACUGGCUGUGGAAAAGAUGACAGGCAAAGCAUCUUAAAUUCUUGUAUGAGCCAAGAACUGGAGCACCUGAAAGAUGCCAGCAGCUCUGAGAUAACAUCUGAAAGAUGAAGUACAGAAGCAAGGAUCCAAGUCUGACAGAAAUUGACAGCAGUAGAUGACAAUCUGUCCAGUUUCCUGGAGCUGCUUCUGUAAAAGACCUCUCUGGUAAAGUCCAGACUUAAAGAGGAGCUUACAUGUUCCCCAGCUGUGACCAGAUUUCCACGGAGUGAAGCUCUGAUUGUGCAAGACUCCUGCUGCUAUAGCUCUUUAUAGCCAUGCUUUCCUCAUCCAUGCAGCCUUCAGUAAGUCAUAUUUCAUGACCCCAUCAGGCAGAGCCUUUUAACUUGUUCUCUCCUUAUCCAGUGCUAUUCUUAUUCUAGUUCUUAGAGUCUCACAGUCUUGCAGUCUUUUGGCCUUGCCUUGGCUCAGUAUAACCAGUCUCACCUGAUAACAGCUGUUAAAGCAUUUUUCUUCUCUCUGCCUUCUUCAGCAAACACCAGUCAAGUCCAUAAAUUAACAGUUCCUCUUGUUCAAAACCCAGAGACAGGUUUUCCAGAAACUUUUUGGAAGAAGUAUGAAGUACAAA
Long non-coding RNA from Pogoniulus pusillus (Red-fronted tinkerbird), 719 nucleotides. RefSeq lists it as uncharacterized. The record is from RefSeq and is a predicted model, not a curated record. NCBI's taxonomy places the organism in Eukaryota, Metazoa, Chordata, Aves, Piciformes, Lybiidae. The transcript is spliced from 3 exons.